UGAAGGCCUUCGGGUUGUAAACUGCUUUUGUACGGAACGAAACGGUCUGCCCUAAUACGGUGGGCUAAUGACGGUACCGUAAGAAUAAGCACCGGCUAACUACGUGC
RNAcentral lists this ribosomal RNA (107 nucleotides) under uncultured bacterium. RNAcentral's name for it is "partial 16S ribosomal RNA". The record is from RNAcentral.